Molecule: ribosomal RNA, 1346 nt
Filed under: uncultured bacterium
Lineage: Bacteria
Description: partial 16S ribosomal RNA
Rfam family: Bacterial small subunit ribosomal RNA
Source: RNAcentral
GACGAACGCUGGCAGCGUGCUUAACACAUGCAAGUCGAACGGAAAGGCCCUGCUUUUGUGGGGUGCUCGAGUGGCGAACGGGUGAGUAACACGUGAGUAACCUGCCCUUGACUUUGGGAUAACUUCAGGAAACUGGGGCUAAUACCGGAUAGGAGCUCCUGCUGCAUGGUGGGGGUUGGAAAGUUUCGGCGGUUGGGGAUGGACUCGCGGCUUAUCAGCUUGUUGGUGGGGUAGUGGCUUACCAAGGCUUUGACGGGUAGCCGGCCUGAGAGGGUGACCGGCCACAUUGGGACUGAGAUACGGCCCAGACUCCUACGGGAGGCAGCAGUGGGGAAUAUUGCACAAUGGGCGGAAGCCUGAUGCAGCAACGCCGCGUGCGGGAUGACGGCCUUCGGGUUGUAAACCGCUUUCGCCUGUGACGAAGCGUGAGUGACGGGAAUGGGUAAAGAAGCACCGGCUAACUACGUGCCAGCAGCCGCGGUGAUACGUAGGGUGCGAGCGUUGUCCGGAUUUAUUGGGCGUAAAGGGCUCGUAGGUGGUUGAUCGCGUCGGAAGUGUAAUCUUGGGGCUUAACCCUGAGCGUGCUUUCGAUACGGGUUGACUUGAGGAAGGUAGGGGAGAAUGGAAUUCCUGGUGGAGCGGUGGAAUGCGCAGAUAUCAGGAGGAACACCAGUGGCGAAGGCGGUUCUCUGGGCCUUUCCUGACGCUGAGGAGCGAAAGCGUGGGGAGCGAACAGGCUUAGAUACCCUGGUAGUCCGCGCUGUAAACGGUGGGUACUAGGUGUGGGGUCCAUUCCACGGGUUCCGUGCCGUAGCUAACGCUUUAAGUACCCCGCCUGGGGAGUACGGCCGCAAGGCUAAAACUCAAAGGAAUUGACGGGGCCCCGCACAAGCGGCGGAGCAUGCGGAUUAAUUCGAUGCAACGCGUAGAACCUUACCUGGGUUUGACAUGGAUCGGGAGUGCUCAGAGAUGGGUGUGCCUCUUUUGGGGUCGGUUCACAGGUGGUGCAUGGCUGUCGUCAGCUCGUGUCGUGAGAUGUUGGGUUAAGUCCCGCAACGAGCGCAACCCUUGUUCACUGUUGCCAGCACGUUAUGGUGGGGACUCAGUGGAGACCGCCGGGGUCAACUCGGAGGAAGGUGGGGAUGACGUCAAGUCAUCAUGCCCCUUAUGUCCAGGGCUUCACGCAUGCUACAAUGGCUGGUACAGAGAGUGGCGAGCCUGUGAGGGUGAGCGAAUCUCGGAAAGCCGGUCUCAGUUCGGAUUGGGGUCUGCAACUCGACCUCAUGAAGUCGGAGUCGCUAGUAAUCGCAGAUCAGCAACGCUGCGGUGAAUACGUUCCCGGGGCU